AAAGCCCAGCCCGACCUGAACCCA
This 24-nucleotide non-coding RNA is filed under the name Arabidopsis thaliana (thale cress). The record is from RNAcentral. Lineage: Eukaryota; Viridiplantae; Streptophyta; Magnoliopsida; Brassicales; Brassicaceae.